This 6499-nucleotide long non-coding RNA is filed under the name Homo sapiens (human). RNAcentral's name for it is "HSALNT0295659". Lineage: Eukaryota; Metazoa; Chordata; Mammalia; Primates; Hominidae. The record is from RNAcentral.
GAGUCUUUGGUGUCCAGAGCCCUUGCUGGAGCUUGACCACAUGCUGCCUGCAUGACUGACCUUUGCUCUCCAGUCCCUAUGGGGGCUGGAACUGAUAUGGCGUGUUUCGGAGCCCCCAUUAUAAAUCACAUCAUUUGAGCAUCUGGUGGCCAAACUCCUCAGGCAAACAAUGACAUUCCUAUUGGGCAGGACAUUCCAGAGGCCUAGAGAUCAUCUCCCAGUAGCCGAGGGCCAAAGCCAGACCUCUCUUUGGUUGGCUUCAGGUCACAUGUUGCUCUGGAGAACCGAGAAGGGUGAGCAGACACCAAUCAUGACCCCAAACAGCAAGAGGACAGAAGUCUGCAGGAUGCUCAGCAGGGGCACUCCCUGAACACGCCUGCUCCCACAGCAUGUGCAAAGGCUUCACACUUGGAUUGAGGGUUAUACAUUUCUUCAUGGACAUCCCCAAACAACACAGAACAGAGACAAGGUUUCUGGUCCUUUUGGAAUGUCCACACCAUUCCCAUUCUUCAAAAUCUGUCACACUUCCAGAUAGUUCCAGUGAACAAUGAACUCUCCCCCUAUGCAGUAACAGUUGAUUAUUCAAUUUAACACUGAAUUAUAUAUUCUCUGGAACUGUUCUCUAACAACUAUGAGGCGUUUUCAACGGUAGUUGAAUGGAAAAAUACCAAACUGGGAGUAAAAAGAUCUGGCUUCCAGGCCAGGCGCGGUGGCUCAUGCAUGUAAUCCCAGUACUUUGGGAGGCUGAGGCGGGCGGAUCACCUGAGCUCAAGAGUUCGAGACCAGCCUGGACAACAUGGUGAAACCCUGUCUCUACUAAAAAUAGAAAAAUUAGUCAAGCGUCAUGGUGGGCGCCUGUAAUCCCAGCUGCUCGGGAGACUGAGGCAUGAGAAUCGCCUGCACCUGGGAGGCGGAGGUUGCAGUGAGCCGAGAUCGGGCCAUUGCACUCCAGCCUGAGCGACAGAGCAAGACUCCGUCUCAAAAAAAAAAAAAAAAGAUCUGGCCUCUCAAGAGGCCGCCACUAACUCUCUGUGUAACCUUGAGCAAGCCAAUGUUCUGGGCCUUGGUGCUUCCUGCAGGGUAAGAGGAGGACUGCCGAUCUCUAAGGAUCUUCCGUGGUCUAUGGGUUUAUGACUCGAAACUCCUCAAAGUGCAGAAACACAAGCCACAUCCCUUCUCAAGGCCAGACACAUACUAGGAGCUCUAUUAAUACCUGAAUAAAAACCACGGAUGAAGAGCUUGCCUGGCCCUGGCAUUUCUAUACCAAACCAACACACCAUGGAUCAUUGUAUCUUCCCUGGGACAGACCCUCAGAGCCUACAAGUGACUCUACAACUUCACUGAUACAGAUCUAUUAUUCCUUAGCUUAGACUUCCAUCUCUCCAGAUCAACCUUCAGGAAAACUAGGAAACUAUCAAUAAUGAUUUCAAUUGUCGGCUUCAAAUUCACCUUAUUUCUUCUACCCCAGCAUGCCUUUUUUGUGGCAGCACUUAGAUUCUCAUUCAGAAAACAAACGCAUUCAUGCCGUACCAGUGAUUUGUUGGGGAAACUGCCUCGGCCCCACCACCCAGAUCCCCCACGUUCCUACCAAGUAAGCCAAGUGACCAUGUGAAGAACUGACUGACACCCAGAGGAAACUAAUAAACAAAAACAAAUAAAAGCAAAUACCUUUUCAGGAAUCUCACUUGGAAAACCAAGUAUAAUGGCAAAAACAACCAAAAAAAAAAACCCGAAUGUUUUCAGCGUUGGGGAUGUUGGGGGUGUAGACAUCUCGAGAGCUGGUUUCCGAAGGCACCGCACCCCAGACAAUGUGCUACAAGAGCCUCCCGGCUGCUGUGUCAAUGAAGCCUUUCAGGCCCUCCACACUGCUUCACUUGUUCCCUAAAGUAGUGCUUUCUGGAAGCUAAACUCUCAGCUGGCGAGAACAGUGAACUCUGUGCCAUUUGUCUAUCAACUCCUUUAAAAAGAAAAACCUCCUGUACGGCUCUCUUGUUUUGCAUUUUCUAUUCUGCACUCCAGUACGCAUAACGACACACAGAAGAGGCAAGGGCCUCUUUUAAAACCGUGAAGAAAGAAUAAAUUUGAAAGCACCCAGAAGCCUCUGCUUUCAGCUAUUAGAGAAAAGUUUGCAUCCCAUAGAAACCAGUACUAAUUAAAAAAAAAAAAACUCAGUCCUCAACCCUGGGAAUCAACAAUAAGGGACUCUUCAGGGUGUGGAGUAACAAAAAAAUUUAAAAACAAAAAAUAAAUGUGCACAGCCCAUCUAUCUUUUCCCAAUCAAAUAAUACAGCCUUCCAAAAUGUAAAAAUAGAAAUAUUUUCACAUGUGAAUUUUACCUCAAUAAAGUAAUUUUUUAAAAAUCUUUUUAGCCGGGCACAGUGGCUCAUGCUUAUAAUCCCAGCAUUUUGGGAGGCCAAGGCAGGCAGAUCACGAGGUCAGGAGUUCAAGAUCAGCCUGGCCAAGAUGGUGAAACCCCAUCUCUACUAAAAAUACAAAAAAUUAGCCAGGCAUGGUGGUGCACACCUGUAAUCUCAGCUACUCGGGAGCUGAGGCAGGAGAAUCGCUUGAACCCAGGAGACAGAGGUUGCAGUGAUCCAAGACUGAGCCUGCACUCCAGCCUGGGUAACAAGAGUGAAACUCAGUCUCACAAAAAAAAAAAAAGAAGAAGAAGAAAACAGGAAGUGCCUUCCAUAAUUCCAAAUACAGUAUUGUUAAAUAUUAAUGUAUUAUGUCCAAAUAGUUCAGUGAAUUUCAAGUUUUCAUCCAGAUGAAUGGAGUUCUUCAUAUUCAUUCAACUAAUAAAUAUUCCUUGAGCAUCUACGACAUGCUAGGCAUUUUUACAAGUAAAAACAAAAGUAGACAAAAAUUGCUGUCUUUAUGGACUCUAUAUUCUAGUAGAGGGCAGAAAAGCCAGUGACCGAUAAAAGCCAGUGACCAACACUUGUGUUUUUUAGCUGACUUAUUCUUGGGUAUUUAAAAGAGAUCUUGGGCCGAGCAGUGGCUCAUGUCUGUAAUCCCAGCAUGUUGGGAGGCCGAGGCGGGCGAAUCAUCUGAGGUCAGGAGUUCGAGACCAGCCUGGCUAACAUGGUAAAACCCCAUCUCUACUAAAAACACAAAAAAUUAGCCAGGCGUGUUUGGCGCACGCCUGUAAUCCCAGCUACUCGGGAGGCUGAGGCAGGAGAAUUCCUUGAACCUGGGAGGCGGAGGUUGCAAUGAGCUGAGAUUGCGCCAUGGCACUCUGGCUUGGGCAACAAGAGCAGAACUCCGUCUGAAAAAAAAAAAAGAUCUUGAAGUUCAAAAAUUAUACGAGUCUGUUAUUUUCCUAGUCUUUUCUCCACUCCAAAGAAAGAUAAACCUAAUUGGUAUUCCUUACCACUACAACAAUCAGGACCACUGAAGUGAGAGGAAAGGAAGCUAUACAAGGAUGUAUUUAAAGCUCAUUACUUAAACAAAAUGAAAACAUAAGAUCCAGAGAGUUCUUUUUAUGUUUGUUUAAGAGCUUCAGAAAGGCUGGGCAGGCUGGCACAUGCCUGUUGUCCUAGCUACUCGGGAGGCUGAGGCAGAAGGAUAGCUUAAGCCCAGGAAUUUGUAUCCACCCCAGGCAACAUAGUGAGGCCUCAUUAAAAAAAAAAAGGAAAGAAAAAAGGGUUUUAGAAAACAUAAUCUGAUGCACAGAUUAUAGAGUUUUGCAUUUUUAAAAAAUAGAUCUAAUUGAUAAGACAGCAAAAAAUGAAUAUGUGGAACCCAGCAAUUUCAUUCCACGUACACACUAGAGCAGUAAUCAGCAAACAUUUUCUGCAUAGAAUUAGAUACCAGAUAUUUUAGGCUUUGCACGCCAUCCAGUCUCUGUUACAACCACUCACUAGGCCUGAAAACGGCCUUAGGUAAUAUAUAAAUGCAUGAGCAUGGCUGUUCCAAUAAAACUUUACUUAUGGACACUGAAACUUGAAUUUUCAUGUGUCAUAAAAUAUUAGUCUUUCCAUUUUUAAAAACCAUUCAGAAAUGUAAAAACCACCUUAGUGUCUGGGUCAUACAAAAAAAAGGUGGAGGGUCCACGGGCCAGACCAUGGUUUGCCAAUCCCUGCUCUAAAGAACUCUUACAGGCCAGGCACAGUGGCUCGCGCUUAUAAUCCCAGCACUUUGGGAGGCCAAGGUGGGCAGAUCACAUGAGGCCAGGAGUUCAAGACCAGCCUGGCCAACACAGUGAAACCCUGUCUCUACUAAAAAUACAAAAAUUAACUGAGUGUGGUGUCGCGCAUCCGUGGUCCCAGCUACUUGGGAGGCUGAGGCACGAAAACCGCUUGAACCCAGGAGGCAGAUGUUGCAGUGAGCCGAAGUCGUGCCACUGCAUUCCACCCUGGGUGACAGAGCAAGACUCUGUCUUAAAAACAAACAGACAAAAAGAACUCUUACAUACACAUAACUCAACUACACAUGAGAAUGUUCAUAACAUCAUUAUGUGAAUUAGCAAGUAUGCAGAUACCAAAAAUGUUGGUAGACAAAAACUGGAGUUACAUGUAUCAACAUGGAUGAUCUUACAAACCUAUUUAAGAGAAAACACAAAUUACAGAAGAACAGUUACAACGUCAUUUAUAUACAAAUUUUAAAUAUGCAGAAAUUAUAUAUUACUGAGCAUAUUUAACAUAUAUAAUAAAAGUCUGAACAGGCCAUGCGCAGUGGCUCAUGCCUGUAAUCCCAGCACUUUGGGAGCUGAGGCAGGUGGAUCACUUGAGAUCAGGAGUUCAAGACCAGCCUGGCCAACAUGGCGAAACCCCAUCUCUACUAAAAAUUCAAAAAUUAGCCAGGUGUGUUGUUGCGCAUCUGUAACCCUAGCUACUCAGGAGGCUGAGGCAGGAGAAUCACUGAACCCGGGAGCCAGAGGAUGCAGUGAGCCAAGAUUGUGCCACUGCACUCCAGCCUCGGUGACAGAGUAAGACUCUUGUCUCAAAAAACAAAAAGGAAUGUUCCACAUCAAACUCAUUUACCUGGGAAUGACGUCAGGGGGAGGCAGGAGAAGGAUACAACUGGAGAAGGAUGCACAGGGGGCUUCAACUGCAUUGUUGAUGUUUCAUUUUUUAAACUGAGUGACAAGUCGAUCAAUGUCCAUUCUUGAUACCACUGUGUACCUUAAAUAUUUAAUAAUAAAUAAAAAGAAAUGUGCAGUUUUGGGCUUUUUUUUGUUUUUUUUUGUUUUUUUAGAUAGAGUCUCGCUCUGUCACCCAGGCUGGACUACAGUGGCGUGAUCUGGGCUCACGCCCAGAUCCUGAGUAUCUGGGACUACAGGCGUGCACCACCAUGCCUGGCUAAUUUUUGUAUUUUUAGUAGAGUUUUACCAUGUUGGCCAGGCUGGUCUCGAACUCCUGACUUCAAGUGGUCCACCUGCCUUGAUCUCCCAAAGUGCUGGAAUUACAGGCAUGAGCCACUACGCCCAGCCAGGAAUGUGUAGAUUUAAUGUGAAUUUAGCAAAUGGUUUGUCCUAUUUGAGGGCAGAGGUGAGGUCAGCUUAUAUUAACAUAUCCAAAAACUUGGUUUGAGCCCAGAUUUCUGACACUAAAAACAAAAAAUGCCCCAUUUGUUUCUUUCUUCUUUCUUCUUUUUUUUUAGAGAUGGAGUCUCGCUCUGUCGCCUGGGCUGGAGUGCAGUGGGGCAAUCUUGGCUCACUGCAAGCUCCACCUCCCGUGUUCACGCCAUUCUCCUGACUCAGCCUCCUGAGUAGCUGGGAACACAAGCGCCCACCACCACGCCCAGCUAAUUUUUGUAUUUUUAGUAGAGACGGGGUUUCACCGUGUUAGCCAGGAUGGUCUCAAUCUCCUGACCUCGUGAUCCACCUGCCUCAGCCUCCCAAAGUGCUGGCAUUACAGGCGUGAGCCACCACGCCCAGCCUAUUUGUUUCAUUUUUUAAAAUUGGACUGAACCUUAGGAGAAAACAGAAAAUUGUACUACAUUCUUGCAUAGCUAGCUAAUGUAAAUAGCUUCAAGCAACAAACUAGAUAUUAUUGAUCCGUUUCAAAAGAGCUGAGUCAGGCUGUACACGGUGGCUCAUGCCUGUAAUCCCAGCACUUUGAGAGGCCGAGGCAGGCGGAUCACCUGAGGUCAGGAGUUGGAGACCAGCCUGGCCAAUGUGGUGAAACCCCAUGUCUACAACAAAAAAAUACAAAAAUUAGCUGGGCAUGGUGGCGCGUGCCUGUAGUCCCAGCUACUGGGGAGGCUGAGGCACAAGAAUCGCUUGAACCCGGUAGGUGGAAGUUGCAGUGAGCCAAGCAGAGAUUGCACCACUGAACUCCAGCCUGGGCUGGAGGUUUUUUUCAUCUCGGGAAAAAAAAAAAAAAAAAAAAGAGCUGAGUCAGAUUCUGACUUGUCUAACGGACUCAGUCGUGAUGUUUUGCCUGUCUGCUCCAAGUUCCCCUGUUCCAGACACAUCUCUCACAGCAUUACAAUGAUCUACAUGCCCUAGGAAUAGCGACUUUCCAUCAUCUGCCUCAUCAGAGCAAAUAGAAGU